Alexandromys fortis (reed vole) is the source of this 655-nucleotide long non-coding RNA. RefSeq lists it as uncharacterized. Lineage: Eukaryota; Metazoa; Chordata; Mammalia; Rodentia; Cricetidae. The transcript has 4 exons. The record is from RefSeq and is a predicted model, not a curated record.
UGUAUUCAGAUCAAGAAACAAAGGCAGGUGAGAUUUUGUAGAGCCGUUCCCUAUUUAAAAGUUCAAUUGGUGUGAGUCACUGGCACAGUCACAAUGAGCCUUUGUACUUCCCGAAUGGCUUUUGUUCAAAGAUCUCGCAAGGCAAAGAGCUGCAAAGAAUGCCUGUUCUCAUUGUGGAUGGAGGACAACUAAAUCCGAAAAAACGGAGGCAGAAUAGAGGUCUCUCCAGGAAGAGAAUAGAAUGAUGCUGAGUCAUCCUGCAAUGUUCCUUCUCCAUCUCAAGGAGAGAUGUUUCUUAUUCACGGGUGAGUUUAUAUGUUUUCAGAGCAAGGGAACCAGGCACCAAUAAAAAUGGAUAGCCCCGAUGAUCCAGCCUCUCAGAAUGCUUCUGUUUCAGUAUCCUCCGAGUUCUAUAUUAAGGACAACUUAGAGACUGGGUGCUAAGAUGGCUCAGACUCACAGAAUACUUCAGCCAGGUCUUCAGGGCCUCCUAAAGAUGCUGAUGCCUGCAGAGAGCAGUGAAUAGUCUAGUGGACAUGAGACCCACAUCCCGAAGAGGUGGUAUAUAUGGUUUUUGGUUAUUCAGUGGGUUAUGGACAUUUGUCAUUAUUUAAGAGGGGUUGGUUACUAGUUUCUUAUUGGUAAUGAUCAGGAA